CAAGCGGGAACUGUUCAAGAGUGAAAUGUUUCUGAAGGUGGCCCUGCAGUUGGCACAAGAAAAGGGACGCUCUCCUGUGUGAGUGCGCAUGCGAGUCCAAGAUUGCAGCUUACAGCAAAAGCAGACGGCCACAGGUCGCCCUGCAGUUUGCACAAGAAAAGGGACGCUCUCCUGUGUGAGUGCGCAUGCGAGUCCAAGAUUGCAGCGAAAGCAGACGGCCGCAGGUACGACAUCUGAAAGUGCCGUUGCCGAAAGGAGCACGGCAUGCCCCUCUCUUCACCUGCGGUCCUUAAUGCCUGGCACAAGCUCUGGAGCUAAAGGUGGCAAUGAUGAAGGUCCUGACAUAAUAAUGGAAAAACGAAGCUUCAAGCCAGGCACUACAGCAGACGAAAUAAUCACUAUAUUGUUAGAUGAUCGGGAGCACCUGCCUCCUCCAGCAAAAAUGUCAAAGCAUUAAAGGGAUAGUGUAGUAAUGGGAGAUGCUACUCAUGAAAAAAAUGCAAGUUUUUUUUUUCAAGGUUACAUAAUAAUUCUUACCAAUUUCACAGGUUUAGGUUCUCUGCUCGAAAAAAGUCAAAGUUGUAAACUCUGUGGUUAAAAUAACAAGAGAUGGUUUGACCGCUUGCUCAGCAAACAUUUUUGUUUUUUUUAGUAGUAUUAUUUUUGAACUACUUUUUCAGAUUGGCUUCAUUUUCAUUUUAGUUUCAUUUAAGUAUCCUGCCGCCUGGUUCUUGGCCCAUCCCCCUCUGUGGGUGAGCGCCAUCCAUGAGAGGUCAUCAUAAUCAUCACUUUUGAAUAGAUUAAGACGGCUCUAAAUAUAGAUAGAGCAACUCACCGUAGAACUUAUUACAAAUUGAUAUUGGCACAUACCCUAUAUAAAAAGUAAACAUUUCAUUGCCUUAAGAUACGGAUUAAAAAGAAACUUUCUUUUUUUUUGAGUAGAAUCUCUCCUUUGUAUGUUUUGUGUUAUUUUGUGUUAUGCAUGCAUGGAAUGUUGCAAGAGACAAUAUUCUAUGCAAGUAUUAACCGUUGGUAAAAUUUCCUAUUUGUGUC
This is a long non-coding RNA of Rhipicephalus microplus (southern cattle tick), 1053 nucleotides long. Lineage: Eukaryota; Metazoa; Arthropoda; Arachnida; Ixodida; Ixodidae. The record is from RefSeq and is a predicted model, not a curated record.